UUCUUUCCUUAGCUUGUCUGGCAGUUCUCUAAAAGUUAAAAAAUAUACAAGUGUACACUUGUUAGGAAAAAAGUACUGGCCUCAGAAACUCAAAAAUUCUUUGCAUUUAGUUAUUCUGGAAGAAUCUACAUUAUCAAUACACGCACUAGCAGAGGACCGCAGUAGCUCUGGUACGUGCCCCAAGGUCCUGGGUUCACUUAGGAUCAGAUGCUUUACUCCCCACUGAGACUGUGAAUACCUCAUUUGGGGACUACAGGAGGCCCUGGUUCUCCUCACCCAAGGGAGACCAUCUAGAAGGCCUCCUAUAGUUUCUCACGGUGCAGUCAUUCAAGGCCUGUUUCCUAUUCUAUGGGCUCAGAAGCCACUCCCAACCCCAAGCCAGUGCAGAAAAACAAAAUGACGUAGAUCAGAACUAGAUUCUCCUGCUAUUCCCACAAAUAAAAUUUUUCACGAGAAUCUAAAAAAAGUAAUCGCAUAACUCUUGAAUGAGCUAAUAAUUUUCACAGCUGAGAAGUAAAUCUGAUGACUUUUCCCCCAGAUGAGGCUCACGUAUGUGUGAAGUUAUCCAGGUUGAAGGGGUGGGGAGAGAAGAAAGGGUUAAGAGAUGAAAAUAAAACAACCCUGCUUACAAAAUCCUAUUUAUGUAAAAAUUAUAUUUGUGAAGGAAUGGAGGAAUCUAAAAUAUUAAAAGAAAGCUAAGAAAGUGCUUAUACAUUAUGAACACUGGCAAAGGAUCUGAACAGUUUUCAGGAGUGUAAAUACAAUUGAUCAGCAUUUUUAAAAACAUCAGUGUCUUUGGUCAACAAGACCAUUCUUUUCCCACCACGUACGCCCCGACGAGUGCAGUUACGUGAGCACUGCCUCCACCAACAGGGCAGGAGGAGCAUAACGGAGCACUGUCCUUUGGAAAACAGCUUUGAAAUAAAUUCCUACUGUCUCAGAAAUAUCCAAACACUGGACUCAGUGAUUUUACAUUUCAGAAUCUAUCUGAAGGAACAACCUCAAAAUGUAAAGAACAGUGUGUAAACAGAAGAAUGAACUUCCAAGUUCACCAGUAUGGGCACAGCUAAAUCGAGUUCAGUAGACAUGUACCCAACAGAGUGAUGUUAGCCUUUUUGGAGGACAGACAUUAUGAAUGCUCAUCACGGAUGUGGGCAAAUGCUUAAAUAUUGCCAUAACUAGAAAAAAAGUUGGAUACAAAGUUGCAUGUGGAAUGUAUGCUUGCAAGAAAAUUUUAAUCAGAUCCUUUUGCUAGACUGCCUGUUAAAAAUUCAUCCUAGUUAUUAAAUACAACUGUUAUAUUUUUCCCUCCUGUUUUAAGCAACAGGUAAUUGCUCAGAGAGGUGCCAAGGUGAACAGGUUUUACACUUGGGCCAGGAGUAUAAUGUUUGCAUGUUGAGCUGGGUUGGCCCUAGAGAUAAUUUAUUAAUGUUCUCUGACAUCUCGGGACAUCCUUAGCUGCGAAUGCAAAUAUAUGUUGCUGCCCCAAUUCACCAAACUUUUGGUUGAUGGUCUGGGUCUCUUAGAGACUGUGUUAAGUUAUAUUUAUUUUCUUCUAGGCAGUGGUGACAAUUUUCUGUCCUAGAAUGAAUUACAAGGGAAGAAGCUUCUAUCUGUGACAGAGAACCUACAUAGGUCUCAAGAGGAAACUCAGGUGAUGAAAGGGAUAAGUGCAUCUUGGGUCCCAGACAAGGGAUACAGAUUCCUCCAUAUGACCUUCCACAGGACUGUAUACCCGAUUCUCCAUCUGAUGUUCCAGGAUGAAGUCAAACAGGAGAAAAAAAGAACUGAGGUGAGGGACAGAUGAAGGCAAAAUGUUGAUAACUGUUCAAGUUUGGCAGGUGGGUUGCUGACAGCGAAGGCAAAGCGGAUUUCCUGCAUUAUCCACAGCUUGCAGAUAGCCUUUGGAUAUAGAAGGCUUCACAGCGAGAUCAGCUUGGGCUAUGCAGGGAUUUAGAAAUGGGACAGAGACUCCAUCAUCAAGGAACUUUCUGGAAGUGAACAAAACAUUGACUAAGUAAUGAACACGUACACUCGUCUAAAUAGUCACUACUUCAUGUAACAGCCUUUAAAGUUUCAAUACUGAUAACCAGUAAAUGUAAGACUCAUGGAUUCUGUGACUGAGUGUGGAAAUGAAACAGCCAGAGUCAGCACUCGAUGCUCAUGCCAAAUGAAGGAAAGGAUGAUGUGUUAAAAAAAUUCAUUUGAAUAUAAAUAUGCUGCCUCUCUUGGGAGUUUAUAUAUCUCCAAGUUAAACAACCAGACUUUGAAACAUCUGGAGAAGUUGGAAAAUGAGAAGUUAAAAAUGCUUCUUCAAUCUGGGAAAGGACGGGCUAAUGUAAAACCCCACUUGGAGUUGGGGCUACUGUACUCUACAUGUGUUGGGCCACACACCUCACUAGGACACAGAGACCAUUAUGAAGGCUUCCACGACACUCUCGGAGAGCCCCUGUGGGCCUACCGGAAACAGUCACAUCCAUAAAGUGACAGAGCCAAGAAGCUAAUGGUGUUGACAGGAACUAUCAACAUUAGACUUGCUAAAUAUGUGCCUCCUCCAGAAGGGUCCUGUGGCCUGGACUCCUUUGUGAUCAGACGAACAUGGCCCCCAUCAUUCUUGACCUUGUCCAGUGAGGCUACAGCAACAUCUUCUUUGCUGAUGUAUCUAAAACAAUUACAUGGUGAGUAGAUUUCCUCUCUCUGCUGAGUUUCUCUAUUUCAUGAUCACAUUACUCUUUGUAAAAGCAAUAGGAGAGAAAGCAAGAUGGGGUCUUUAUUGUGCUAAUACUAAAAUUAGGGCAUAGAAUUUUCUAUCCUAACAUUGGUCUCCAUGUGUGGGAAAGACACCUCUGUUCCAAAUUAGUUUCUUAAGAUUUAUUUUUCUAAGACAUUCAGAGUCACUCAAUAUCCUUUGGACCAAUUUUCACUUAGGGGAUAAGAGGAGUGGGUGUAGGAAUAAGAAGUGAUCAAAUACAUGCACAACUGACAUCCUUGAGUAAAUACCUUGUUGAGCUGUGCGGAUAAUCUCUCACUGCAUUUUUACCUCCCUUUUGGCCUUUUCUUCAAGGUCCCUCAAAUCACCUCAAUCAUUUAUAAUGGUGUAUCAGCAUACUCGGGUAAAGAGAUUCUCUUUUUAGUUAACCAGGUUCAAUAACAACUUCUAUAAUCCCAAGGUUGUUUCCAUUAUUGUCAGCCAUACAGAGUUUAUGGAAUCUUCCACUGAAAUAAAGCCACUCUUGAUGUGGGAUUCAGAACCUUAUUACACAACACUAUCAAUACCACACAAUGGUUUAGGGACUGGAAGUAAAGAGGAAAGUUAUUCCAAUUAAAGGUGACGGGGGAAUUUAAGUAGGUAAAAUGCAAUUACCCAAUUAAUUCCUUCUAAUUAGCAUGGCCCACUUUCUCUGGUAGUUUACACUUUUGUAGCUUUUUUUUCCUUUUUAAUUAGUUUGAACAUGAAUUUCUUCAUAUUUCCAAGUACUUCCUAGUUUGCUAACUUGACAAUAAAAUUUAAAUCACAAUGGAAUGGCGCAAUAUUAGGUAAAGUCUUAGAAAUUUACUUUUAUGUUAAAGUAGACUUAAAAAUCAACAGAUUUUCUUGUUUUUAAAUUUUUUUUUUUUUUACGUUUAUUUAUUUUUGAGACAGA
Prionailurus viverrinus (fishing cat) is the source of this 3644-nucleotide long non-coding RNA. RefSeq lists it as uncharacterized. NCBI's taxonomy places the organism in Eukaryota, Metazoa, Chordata, Mammalia, Carnivora, Felidae. The record is from RefSeq and is a predicted model, not a curated record. The transcript is spliced from 4 exons.